AAGAUCAUACUUCACAGGAUCAUUUCUGUAGUAUAUCUUGACUUGUUUCCCACCAGAAACAUGUCUCCUUUCAAUCCACGAUGACGAGUAACGACGCUGGCUUCUGAGCGUGAAGCAGGCAGUGAGUGUAACCACUUCGGUGGUAUCUACUUACGGCCAUUGAGGACCGUUUCUGGGACACCUUUAUGGAGUCCCGGAAAGAAGUCGGCGUGUUCAGAGUGGU
Daphnia magna is the source of this 223-nucleotide small nucleolar RNA. It matches the Rfam family "Small nucleolar RNA U3". Rfam says of the family: Small nucleolar RNAs (snoRNAs) are involved in the processing and modification of rRNA in the nucleolus. There are two main classes of snoRNAs: the box C/D class, and the box H/ACA class. U3 snoRNA is a member of the box C/D class. Lineage: Eukaryota; Metazoa; Arthropoda; Branchiopoda; Diplostraca; Daphniidae. The record is from Rfam.